CUCUCUACGUUUGCAAAAGAAGGACUGAAAGUUAGCGGAAGUAAAUUGAGCAAAAGCUAAUUCGUCCGCUGAUGGUUUUCAAAGUUAGCUGAAAAGCUAAUAAGCUAAAGAAACUUUAGCUCCGCUAAUU
This is a long non-coding RNA of Thalassophryne amazonica, 130 nucleotides long. RefSeq lists it as uncharacterized. The transcript has 4 exons. The record is from RefSeq and is a predicted model, not a curated record. NCBI's taxonomy places the organism in Eukaryota, Metazoa, Chordata, Actinopteri, Batrachoidiformes, Batrachoididae.